CCUACGGGGGGCAGCAGUGGGGAAUAUUGGACAAUGGGGGAAACCCUGAUCCAGCGACGCCGCGUGAGUGAAGAAGUACUUCGGUACGUAAAGCUCUUUCAGCAGGGAAGAAAAUGACGGUAUCUGACUAAGAAGCGCCGGCUAACUACGUGCCAGCAGCCGCGGUAAUACGGAGGGGACAAGCGGUAUCCGGAUUUACUGGGUGUAAAGGGAGUGUAGACGGCAGCGCAAGUCUGGAGUGAAAUGCCGGGGCCCAACCCCGGAACUGCUCGGGAAACUGGGAGGCUGGAGUGCAGGAGAGGUAAGCGGAAUGCCUGGUGUAGCGGUGAAAUGCGUAGAUAUCAGGAGGAACACCGGCGGCGAAGGCGGCUUACUGGACUGUAACUGACGUUGAGGCUCGAAGGCGUGGGGAGCAAACAGGAUUAGAUACCCUUGUAGUC
RNAcentral lists this ribosomal RNA (440 nucleotides) under uncultured bacterium. Its description in RNAcentral is "partial 16S ribosomal RNA". It matches the Rfam family "Bacterial small subunit ribosomal RNA", at positions 338 to 795 of the family's 1533-position model. The record is from RNAcentral.